CCUUGCAUGUCUAAGUAUAAGCAAUAUACCGUGAAACUGCGAAUGGCUCAUUAAAUCAGUUAUCGUUUAUUUGAUAAUACCUUACUACUUGGAUAACCGUGGUAAUUCUAGAGCUAAUACAUGCUGAAAAUCCCGACUUCGGAAGGGAUGUGUUUAUUAGAUAAAAAACCAAUGCCCUUCGGGGCUCUUUGGUGAUUCAUGAUAACUUUACGGAUCGCAUAGCCUUGCGCUGGCGACGGUUCAUUCAAAUUUCUGCCCUAUCAACUUUCGAUGGUAAGGUAUUGGCUUACCAUGGUUUCAACGGGUAACGGGGAAUUAGGGUUCGAUUCCGGAGAGGCAGCCUGAGAAACGGCUACCACAUCCAAGGAAGGCAGCAGGCGCGCAAAUUACCCAAUCCCGACACGGGGAGGUAGUGACAAUAAAUACUGAUACAGGGCUCUUUUGGGUCUUGUAAUUGGAAUGAGUACAAUUCAAAUCUCUUUACGAGGAACAAUUGGAGGGCAAGUUUGGUGCCAGCAGCCGCGGUAAUUCCAGCUCCAAUAGCGUAUAUUAAAGUUGUUGCAGUUAAAAAGCUCGUAGUUGAAACUUGGGCCUGGCUGGCGGGUCCGCCUCACCGCGUGCACUCGUCCGGCCGGGCCUUCCUUCUGAAGAACCUCAUGCCCUUCACUGGGCGUGCUGGGGAAUCAGGACUUUUACUUUGAAAAAAUUAGAGUGUUCAAAGCAGGCCUUUGCUCGAAUACGUUAGCAUGGAAUAAUAAAAUAGGGCGUGCGUUUCUAUUUUGUUGGUUUCUAGAGACGCCGCAAUGAUUAACAGGGACAGUCGGGGGCAUCAGUAUUCAGUUGUCAGAGGUGAAAUUCUUGGAUUUACUGAAAAUAACUACUGCAAAAGCAUUUGCCAAGGAUUUUUCAUUAACAGUGAACAAAAGUUAGGGGAUCAAAACAAUCAGAUACCGUCGUAGUCUUAACCGUAAACUAUGCCGACUAGGGAUCGGGCGAUGUUCUUUUUCUGACUCGCUCGGCACCUUACAAGAAAUCAAAGUUUUUGGGUCUGGGGGGGAUUAUGGUCGCAAGGCUGAAACUUAAAGAAAUUGACGGAAGGUCACCACCAGGCGUUGAACCUGCGGCUUAAUUUUGACUCACCACGGGGAAACUCACCAGGUCCAGAUGAAUAACGAUCACAGAUUGAGAGCUCUUUCUUGAUUUUUCAGGUGGUGGUGCAUGGCCGUUCUUUAGUUCGUGGGGUGACUUGUCUGCUUAAUUGCGAUAACGAGCGAGACCUUACUCUGCUAAAUAGCCAGGCUAGCUUUGGCUGGUCGCCGGCUUCUUAGAGAGACUAUCAACUCAAGUUGAUGGAAGUUUGAGGCAAUAACAGGUCUGUGAUGCCCUUAGAUGUUCUGGGCCGCACGCGCGCUACACUGACAGAGCCAACGAGUUCUUCACCUUGACCGAAAGGUCUGGGUAAUCUUGUUAAACUCUGUCGUGCUGGGGAUAAAGCAUUGCAAUUAUGUGCUUUUCAACGAGGAAUGCCUAGUAAGGGCGCGUUAUCAGCAUGCGUUGAUUACUCCCUGACCUUUGUACAAACCGCCCCGUCGCUACUACCGAUUGAAUGGCUCAGUGAGGCGUUAUGGACUGGCUCGGGGAGGUUGGCAACGACCACCCCAAGCCGGAAAGUU
This 1673-nucleotide ribosomal RNA is filed under the name Alternaria caespitosa. RNAcentral describes it as "SSU rRNA". It matches the Rfam family "Eukaryotic small subunit ribosomal RNA". The record is from RNAcentral. Lineage: Eukaryota; Fungi; Ascomycota; Dothideomycetes; Pleosporales; Pleosporaceae.